Molecule: ribosomal RNA, 123 nt
Filed under: uncultured bacterium
Lineage: Bacteria
Description: partial 16S ribosomal RNA
Rfam family: Bacterial small subunit ribosomal RNA
Source: RNAcentral
UACGGGAGGCAGCAGUGGGGAAUUUUUGCCAAUGGGGGCAAGCCUGAUCGCAGCCAUGCCGCGUGAGUGAUGAAGGCCUUAGGGUUGUAAAGCUCUCGUCAGAGAUGAUAAUGACAGUAUCUG